Molecule: ribosomal RNA, 425 nt
Filed under: uncultured bacterium
Lineage: Bacteria
Description: bacterial SSU rRNA
Rfam family: Bacterial small subunit ribosomal RNA
Source: RNAcentral
GUGGGGAAUAUUGGACAAUGGGCGAAAGCCUGAUCCAGCAAUGCCGCGUGAGUGAAGAAGGCCUUAGGGUUGUAAAACUCUUUCAGUCGUGACGAUGAUGACGGUAGCGACAGAAGAAGCUCCGGCUAACUCCGUGCCAGCAGCCGCGGUAAUACGGAGGGGGCUAGCGUUGUUCGGAAUUACUGGGCGUAAAGCGCACGUAGGCGGUGUAUCUAGUCAGAGGUGAAAGGCCUGGGCUCAACCUGGGAACUGCCUUUGAUACUGAUACGCUCGAGAGCGGGAGAGGGUAGUGGAAUUCCCAGUGUAGAGGUGAAAUUCGUAGAUAUUGGGAAGAACACCAGUUGCGAAGGCGGCUACCUGGCCCGGUACUGACGCUGAGGUGCGAAAGCGUGGGGAGCAAACAGGAUUAGAUACCCGAGUAGUCC